GUCUGGAAAGGCGCGCGAUACAGGGUGACAGCCCCGUACACAAAAAUGCACAUACUGUGAGCUCGAUGAGUAGGGCGGGACACGUGGUAUCCUGUCUGAAUAUGGGGGGACCAUCCUCCAAGGCUAAAUACUCCUGACUGACCGAUAGUGAACCAGUACCGUGAGGGAAAGGCGAAAAGAACCCCGGCGAGGGGAGUGAAAAAGAACCUGAAACCGUGUACGUACAAGCAGUGGGAGCACGCUUCGGCGUGUGACUGCGUACCUUUUGUAUAAUGGGUCAGCGACUUAUAUUCUGUAGCAAGGUUAACCGAAUAGGGGAGCCGAAGGGAAACCGAGUCUUAACUGGGCGUUAAGUUGCAGGGUAUAGACCCGAAACCCGGUGAUCUAGCCAUGGGCAGGUUGAAGGUUGGGUAACACUAACUGGAGGACCGAACCGACUAAUGUUGAAAAAUUAGCGGAUGACUUGUGGCUGGGGGUGAAAGGCCAAUCAAACCGGGAGAUAGCUGGUUCUCCCCGAAAGCUAUUUAGGUAGCGCCUCGUGAAUUCAUCUCCGGGGGUAGAGCACUGUUUCGGCAAGGGGGUCAUCCCGACUUACCAACCCGAUGCAAACUGCGAAUACCGGAGAAUGUUAUCACGGGAGACACACGGCGGGUGCUAACGUCCGUCGUGAAGAGGGAAACAACCCAGACCGCCAGCUAAGGUCCCAAAGUCAUGGUUAAGUGGGAAACGAUGUGGGAAGGCCCAGACAGCCAGGAUGUUGGCUUAGAAGCAGCCAUCAUUUAAAGAAAGCGUAAUAGCUCACUGGUCGAGUCGGCCUGCGCGGAAGAUGUAACGGGGCUAAACCAUGCACCGAAGCUGCGGCAGCGACACUAUGUGUUGUUGGGUAGGGGAGCGUUCUGUAAGCCUGUGAAGGUGUGCUGUGAGGCAUGCUGGAGGUAUCAGAAGUGCGAAUGCUGACAUAAGUAACGAUAAAGCGGGUGAAAAGCCCGCUCGCCGGAAGACCAAGGGUUCCUGUCCAACGUUAAUCGGGGCAGGGUGAGUCGACCCCUAAGGCGAGGCCGAAAGGCGUAGUCGAUGGGAAACAGGUUAAUAUUCCUGUACUUGGUGUUACUGCGAAGGGGGGACGGAGAAGGCUAUGUUGGCCGGGCGACGGUUGUCCCGGUUUAAGCGUGUAGGCUGAUUUUCCAGGCAAAUCCGGAAAAUCAAGGCUGAGGCGUGAUGACGAGGCACUACGGUGCUGAAGCAACAAAUGCCCUGCUUCCAGGAAAAGCCUCUAAGCAUCAGGUAACAUCAAAUCGUACCCCAAACCGACACAGGUGGUCAGGUAGAGAAUACCAAGGCGCUUGAGAGAACUCGGGUGAAGGAACUAGGCAAAAUGGUGCCGUAACUUCGGGAGAAGGCACGCUGAUAUGUAGGUGAAGUCCCUUGCGGAUGGAGCUGAAAUCAGUCGAAGAUACCAGCUGGCUGCAACUGUUUAUUAAAAACACAGCACUGUGCAAACACGAAAGUGGACGUAUACGGUGUGACGCCUGCCCGGUGCCGGAAGGUUAAUUGAUGGGGUUAGCGGUAACGCGAAGCUCUUGAUCGAAGCCCCGGUAAACGGCGGCCGUAACUAUAACGGUCCUAAGGUAGCGAAAUUCCUUGUCGGGUAAGUUCCGACCUGCACGAAUGGCGUAAUGAUGGCCAGGCUGUCUCCACCCGAGACUCAGUGAAAUUGAACUCGCUGUGAAGAUGCAGUGUACCCGCGGCAAGACGGAAAGACCCCGUGAACCUUUACUAUAGCUUGACACUGAACAUUGAGCCUUGAUGUGUAGGAUAGGUGGGAGGCUUUGAAGUGUGGACGCCAGUCUGCAUGGAGCCGACCUUGAAAUACCACCCUUUAAUGUUUGAUGUUCUAACGUUGGCCCCUGAUCGGGGUUGCGGACAGUGUCUGGUGGGUAGUUUGACUGGGGCGGUCUCCUCCUAAAGAGUAACGGAGGAGCACGAAGGUUGGCUAAUCCUGGUCGGACAUCAGGAGGUUAGUGCAAUGGCAUAAGCCAGCUUGACUGCGAGCGUGACGGCGCGAGCAGGUGCGAAAGCAGGUCAUAGUGAUCCGGUGGUUCUGAAUGGAAGGGCCAUCGCUCAACGGAUAAAAGGUACUCCGGGGAUAACAGGCUGAUACCGCCCAAGAGUUCAUAUCGACGGCGGUGUUUGGCACCUCGAUGUCGGCUCAUCACAUCCUGGGGCUGAAGUAGGUCCCAAGGGUAUGGCUGUUCGCCAUUUAAAGUGGUACGCGAGCUGGGUUUAGAACGUCGUGAGACAGUUCGGUCCCUAUCUGCCGUGGGCGCUGGAGAACUGAGGGGGGCUGCUCCUAGUACGAGAGGACCGGAGUGGACGCAUCACUGGUGUUCGGGUUGUCAUGCCAAUGGCACUGCCCGGUAGCUAAAUGCGGAAGAGAUAAGUGCUGAAAGCAUCUAAGCACGAAACUUGCCCCGAGAUGAGUUCUCCCUGACUCCCUGAGAGUCCUGAAGGAACGUUGAAGACGACGACGUUGAUAGGCCGGGUGUGUAAGCGCAGCGAUGCGUUGAGCUAACCGGUACUAAUGAACCGUGAGGCUUAACCUU
This 2603-nucleotide ribosomal RNA is filed under the name Escherichia coli KTE20. Its description in RNAcentral is "bacterial LSU rRNA". It matches the Rfam family "Bacterial large subunit ribosomal RNA", at positions 340 to 2925 of the family's 2925-position model. Lineage: Bacteria; Pseudomonadati; Pseudomonadota; Gammaproteobacteria; Enterobacterales; Enterobacteriaceae. The record is from RNAcentral.